This 423-nucleotide ribosomal RNA is filed under the name uncultured bacterium. RNAcentral's name for it is "bacterial SSU rRNA". It matches the Rfam family "Bacterial small subunit ribosomal RNA", at positions 207 to 622 of the family's 1533-position model. The record is from RNAcentral.
AAGACCUUGCACUUUUGGAGCGGCCGAUGUCUGAUUAGCUAGUUGGUGGGGUAAUGGCCUACCAAAGCUUCGAUCAGUAGCUGGUCUGAGAGGACGGCCAGCCACACUGGGACUGAGACACGGCCCAGACUCCCACGGGAGGCAGCAGUGGGGAAUUUUGGACAAUGGGCGCAAGCCUGAUCCAGCCAUGCCGCGUGAGUGAAGAAGGCCUUCGGGUUGUAAAGCUCUUUCAGCCGGAACGAAACGGUUACGGUUAAUACCCGUGACUACUGACGGUACCGGAAGAAGAAGCACCGGCUAACUACGUGCCAGCAGCCGCGGUAAUACGUAGGGUGCGAGCGUUAAUCGGAAUUACUGGGCGUAAAGCGUGCGCAGGUGGUUUUGUAAGUCAGAUGUGAAAGCCCCGGGCUCAACCUGGGAACU